UGCGAUGCCUGUCAUUCUGGGUGAAGGAUGAAGAGAAGAUUGUAACUUAUGAAGGUAUUACAACUCUGCUGGGUUUUAAUCAUCAGGUCCUAGAAUUAGGUUCAUUUUAAACAAAACAAAUCAAGGAAUUUUGGGAGAAGAUAGGAAAAAAAAGAUAACCUGCUGAGGAAGAACAUAUGCAACCCUGUCAUCUAAAUAUCCCAC
RNAcentral lists this long non-coding RNA (204 nucleotides) under Setaria italica (foxtail millet). RNAcentral describes it as "long non-coding RNA (SITA_LNC001188)". Lineage: Eukaryota; Viridiplantae; Streptophyta; Magnoliopsida; Poales; Poaceae. The record is from RNAcentral.